GCUCUAGUAGCUUAAUCACAAAGCACCGGUCUUGUAAUCCGAAGAUUGAGGACUAAGUCCCCUCCUAGUGCC
This 72-nucleotide transfer RNA is filed under the name Ameiurus brunneus (snail bullhead). RNAcentral's name for it is "tRNA-Thr". It matches the Rfam family "tRNA". Rfam says of the family: Transfer RNA (tRNA) molecules are approximately 80 nucleotides in length. Their secondary structure includes four short double-helical elements and three loops (D, anti-codon, and T loops). The record is from RNAcentral. Lineage: Eukaryota; Metazoa; Chordata; Actinopteri; Siluriformes; Ictaluridae.